This 95-nucleotide signal recognition particle RNA is filed under the name Candidatus Haliotispira prima. RNAcentral's name for it is "Spirochaetaceae bacterium SP-2023 signal recognition particle sRNA small type". It matches the Rfam family "Bacterial small signal recognition particle RNA". Rfam says of the family: The signal recognition particle (SRP) is a universally conserved ribonucleoprotein involved in the co-translational targeting of proteins to membranes. Archaeal SRP consists of a 7S RNA and homologues of the eukaryotic SRP19 and SRP54 proteins. Lineage: Bacteria; Pseudomonadati; Spirochaetota; Spirochaetia; Spirochaetales; Spirochaetaceae. The record is from RNAcentral.
GUUAGGGCUUGGGUUAUGGGUGGCGGUUUAACCCCGUCAGGUCCGAGAGGAAGCAGCGGCCUACCGCUUAUCCAGGAAUCCAAUUCCCCUUUCCA